This 433-nucleotide ribosomal RNA is filed under the name uncultured bacterium. Its description in RNAcentral is "bacterial SSU rRNA". It matches the Rfam family "Bacterial small subunit ribosomal RNA", at positions 28 to 465 of the family's 1533-position model. The record is from RNAcentral.
GAUGAACGCUGGCGGCGUGCCUAAUACAUGCAAGUCGAACGCACUGAUUAAUCAGUGAGUGGCGAACGGGUGAGUAAUACAUAAGUAACCUGGCCUUGUGAGGGGGAUAACUGCUGGAAACGGCAGCUAAGACCGCAUAGGCAGAGGGGUCGCGUGACCUCACUGUUAAAUAUCCCACGGGAUAGCAGAAGGAUGGACUUAUGGCGCAUUAGCUAGUUGGUGAGGUAGAGGCUCACCAAGGCGACGAUGCGUAGCCGACCUGAGAGGGUGGACGGCCACACUGGGACUGAGACACGGCCCAGACUCCUACGGGAGGCAGCAGUAGGGAAUUUUCGGCAAUGGGCGAAAGCCUGACCGAGCAACGCCGCGUGAGGGAGGAAGUACUUCGGUAUGUAAACCUCUGUUAUAAAGGAAGAACGGCAUAUGUAGGGAA